GAAAGAAAUGUUAGCAAUGUUUAGGCAGAUAUAACAAGUAAAUCUUUGGAUAGUAAAUAUAGUAAACACAGCACAACUUUCUCAUAAUUGUAGGAAUAUCCUUUUCAGGACAGCUAACUAUGGAAAGUACAAACAAAAGUGCCAAAGUUUCUUCACAGUGUUGAACUGGAUUUGGUUUGGUGGGUUCUUUUUCAAGCCUAUAUAUAGUACAAGUUUUGCAGCCCAUUUCAACGAGUCACAGACAGAAGAAAAUGGCAGUAAACAAGAAGAGAAAGAAAGCAAUGCAUAGCAUUUCUUCUUCUGAUUUCAGAGAAAAGAAAAGAUCGCUGUUCAUGGCACAAAUUCAAGAGAACUUCUAGCCUGUAUAAGCAAUGAAUGAAUUCAGGGGAGGAUACAACUGGAGAAGCCAGAAUUCUGUAGUGGCAUAAAACCCUCUGAAUGAUUAUCCUUUUCCUAUGUUCAUUCAUCAGGCUAAUUACAAAGGCAGUAGAAUUCAUUUAAUUAAUGUAUCCUUAUAGUCUUUUACAUAGACUUGGUGUCCAAUUAGGUUUCUUGAAUUGUAACCCUUUUUUUUUUUUUUUAAAGAUUGUAAUUUCUCGAAGUUUUUUUUCUAUUUCUCUUCAUA
Ricinus communis (castor bean) is the source of this 625-nucleotide long non-coding RNA. RefSeq lists it as uncharacterized. The transcript is spliced from 2 exons. Lineage: Eukaryota; Viridiplantae; Streptophyta; Magnoliopsida; Malpighiales; Euphorbiaceae. The record is from RefSeq and is a predicted model, not a curated record.